This 407-nucleotide ribosomal RNA is filed under the name uncultured soil bacterium. RNAcentral describes it as "bacterial SSU rRNA". It matches the Rfam family "Bacterial small subunit ribosomal RNA", at positions 26 to 453 of the family's 1533-position model. The record is from RNAcentral.
AGAACGAACGCUGGCGGCAUGCCUAAUACAUGCAAGUCGAACGAACACUUCGGUGUUAGUGGCGCACGGGUGCGUAACGCGUGGGAAUCUGCCCUUGGGUUCGGAAUAACAGUUGGAAACGACUGCUAAUACCGGAUGAUGACGAAAGUCCAAAGAUUUAUCGCCAGGGAUGAGCCCGCGUAGGAUUAGCUAGUUGGUGAGGUAAAGGCUCACCAAGGCGACGAUCCUUAGCUGGUCUGAGAGGAUGAUCAGCCACACUGGGACUGAGACACGGCCCAGACUCCUACGGGAGGCAGCAGUAGGGAAUAUUAGGGACAAGUCGGGCGCAAGCCUGAUCCAGCAAUCGCCGCGUGAGUGAUAGAAGGUCCGUUAGGGUUGGUAAACGUCGUUACCUUUUAACCGAGUAA